AAAGUCGUAACAAGGUUUCCGUAGGUGAACCUGCGGAAGGAUCAUUACAGUGCCCGGGGCUCGCUCACGCCUGCCCCACCGGCCCCACACGUGCCUACCGACCCUGUUGCCUCGGCGGACCCGCCACCCAGUGGCCGCCGGAGUGGGGGAGACCCCCUCUGGUCAGCGUCCGCCGAAGGACCUACAAAACAAAUCUUUAAGUAAAUGCAGCCUGAGUGAUUAUACAAAUUAAUUAAAACUUUCAACAACGGAUCUCUUGGUUCCG
Molecule: unclassified non-coding RNA, 265 nt
Filed under: Ascomycota sp.
Lineage: Eukaryota; Fungi; Ascomycota
Description: partial contains small subunit ribosomal RNA, internal transcribed spacer 1, and 5.8S ribosomal RNA
Rfam family: Eukaryotic small subunit ribosomal RNA (bases 1-47)
Source: RNAcentral